This 229-nucleotide ribosomal RNA is filed under the name uncultured bacterium. RNAcentral describes it as "partial 16S ribosomal RNA". It matches the Rfam family "Bacterial small subunit ribosomal RNA", at positions 104 to 334 of the family's 1533-position model. The record is from RNAcentral.
CGGGGUGAGUAAUGUCUGGGAAACUGCCUGAUGGAGGGGGAUAACUACUGGAAACGGUAGCUAAUAUCGCAUAACGUCGCAAGACCAAAGAGGGGGACCUUCGGGCCUCUUGCCAUCGGAUGUGCCCAGAUGGGAUUAGCUAGUAGGUGGGGUAACGGCUCACCUAGGCGACGAUCCCUAGCUGGUCUGAGAGGAUGACCAGCCACACUGGAACUGAGACACGGUCCAG